GGUGGUCUAAGUGGUUAGGGCUUCCGCCUCGGAUGCUGAAGGUUGUUGGUUCGAACUCAGGCUGAUCCA
Molecule: non-coding RNA, 69 nt
Organism: Potamilus streckersoni
Lineage: Eukaryota; Metazoa; Mollusca; Bivalvia; Unionida; Unionidae
Source: the annotation of a GenBank genome assembly